This 468-nucleotide ribosomal RNA is filed under the name uncultured bacterium. RNAcentral's name for it is "partial 16S ribosomal RNA". It matches the Rfam family "Bacterial small subunit ribosomal RNA", at positions 28 to 507 of the family's 1533-position model. The record is from RNAcentral.
GAUGAACGCUGGCGGCGUGCUUAACACAUGCAAGUCGAACGGAAAGGCCCAAGCUUGCUUGGGUACUCGAGUGGCGAACGGGUGAGUAACACGUGGGUGAUCUGCCCUGCACUUCGGGAUAAGCCUGGGAAACUGGGUCUAAUACCGGAUAGGACGAUGGUUUGGAUGCCAUUGUGGAAAGUUUUUUCGGUGUGGGAUGAGCUCGCGGCCUAUCAGCUUGUUGGUGGGGUAAUGGCCUACCAAGGCGUCGACGGGUAGCCGGCCUGAGAGGGUGUACGGCCACAUUGGGAGAGAGAUACGGCCCAGACUCGUACGGGAGGCAGCAGUGGGGAAUAUUGCACAAUGGGCGCAAGCCUGAUGCAGCGACGCCGCGUGGGGGAUGACGGCCUUCGGGUUGUAAACUCCUGUCGCUAGGGACGAAGCGUUUUUGUGACGGUACCUGGAGAAGAAGCACCGGCUAACUACGUG